This 545-nucleotide ribosomal RNA is filed under the name Calopsocus marginatus. RNAcentral's name for it is "SSU rRNA". It matches the Rfam family "Eukaryotic small subunit ribosomal RNA", at positions 38 to 568 of the family's 1831-position model. The record is from RNAcentral. Lineage: Eukaryota; Metazoa; Arthropoda; Insecta; Psocodea; Pseudocaeciliidae.
CAAAGAUUAAGCCAUGCAUGUCUCAGUGCAAGCCAAAUUAAGGUGAAACCGCGAAAGGCUCAUUAAAUCAGUUAUGGUUCCUUUGAUGGUACAAACAGUUACUUGGAUAACUGUGGCAAUUCUAGAGCUAAUACAUGCAAACAGAGUCCCGACCACUUGUUGGAAGGGAUGCUUUUAUUAGAUCAAAACCAAUCAGGCUUAACGGCCUGUUGCUCUUGGUGACUCUGAAUAACUUUGGGCUGAUCGCAUGGUCACGUACCGGCGACGCAUCUUUCAAAUGUCUGACUUAUCAACUUUCGAUGGUAGGCUCUGCGCCUACUAUGGUUGUAACGGGUAACGGGGAAUCAGGGUUCGAUUCCGGAGAGGGAGCCUGAGAAACGGCUACCACAUCCAAGGAAGGCAGCAGGCGCGCAAAUUAUCCACUCCUAGAACAGGGAGAUAGUGACGAAAAAUAACGAUGCAGAACUCAUUCCGAGGCUCUGCAAUCGGAAUGAGUACACUCUAAACCAUUUAACGAGUAUCCAUUGGAGGGCAAGUCUGGUGCC